RNAcentral lists this ribosomal RNA (756 nucleotides) under uncultured bacterium. Its description in RNAcentral is "bacterial SSU rRNA". It matches the Rfam family "Bacterial small subunit ribosomal RNA", at positions 28 to 812 of the family's 1533-position model. The record is from RNAcentral.
GAUGAACGCUGGCGGCGUGCCUAACACAUGCAAGUCGAGCGAUUUACUUCGGUAAAGAGCGGCGGACGGGUGAGUAACGCGUGGGUAACCUGCCCUGUACACACGGAUAACAUACCGAAAGGUAUGCUAAUACGAGAUAAUAUGCUUUUGUCGCAUGGUAGAAGUAUCAAAGCUCCGGCGGUACAGGAUGGACCCGCGUCUGAUUAGCUAGUUGGUAAGGUAACGGCUUACCAAGGCGACGAUCAGUAGCCGACCUGAGAGGGUGAUCGGCCACAUUGGAACUGAGACACGGUCCAAACUCCUACGGGAGGCAGCAGUGGGGAAUAUUGCACAAUGGGCGAAAGCCUGAUGCAGCAACGCCGCGUGAGCGAUGAAGGCCUUCGGGUCGUAAAGCUCUGUCCUCAAGGAAGAUAAUGACGGUACUUGAGGGGGAAGCCCCGGCUAACUACGUGCCAGCAGCCGCGGUAAUACGUAGGGGGCUAGCGUUAUCCGGAAUUACUGGGCGUAAAGGGUGCGUAGGUGGUUUCUUAAGUCAGAGGUGAAAGGCUACGGCUCAACCGUAGUAAGCCUUUGAAACUGGGAAACUUGAGUGCAGGAGAGGAGAGUGGAAUUCCUAGUGUAGCGGUGAAAUGCGUAGAUAUUAGGAGGAACACCAGUUGCGAAGGCGGCUCUCUGGACUGUAACUGACACUGAGGCACGAAAGCGUGGGGAGCAAACAGGAUUAGAUACCCUGGUAGUCCACGCCGUAAACGAUGA